Venturia canescens is the source of this 455-nucleotide long non-coding RNA. RefSeq lists it as uncharacterized. The transcript is spliced from 2 exons. The record is from RefSeq and is a predicted model, not a curated record. NCBI's taxonomy places the organism in Eukaryota, Metazoa, Arthropoda, Insecta, Hymenoptera, Ichneumonidae.
AUACAACCUGAAAUUAAUUUCAUCAGUCAUGAGGCUCCGAUCAUGGAAAAUCACUCGUAUUUAUCGCCGAUCUUAUUUUUCCCGUGCCAUUUAAAUUUCCUGGGCUGAGAAAACGACUUUGUACCGGUUUUUAUUCACUUUUAAUGCGGGAGACCCAAUUCACUCGCGCGACCGUACAAAAAUUCGACAUAAAUCGUUCUCGCUACGCAUCAUAAUAAAUUGCCGAGUCGUGCGUCAACUGCAGAUUUAAAUUCAAAUACAUUUGGGUUAUAUCAGUCACUGCUUCCACGAAAUGGCAAAAAUAACAACAAAUGUUUGAAUCAUAAUUCUCUGUCGCGUCCGAAUCGACGUAUUUCCACCCGAAACUCAAAAUAACCUAAUCUAUUUGUUAAACUGAAAAUGUUAAACUUUGAGAAAACAGAUAUGUCAAUUCUAUUAAACGAUUUAAAAAUCGA